RNAcentral lists this transfer RNA (83 nucleotides) under Candidatus Raymondbacteria bacterium RifOxyA12_full_50_37. RNAcentral's name for it is "tRNA-Tyr". It matches the Rfam family "tRNA". From Rfam's summary of the family: Transfer RNA (tRNA) molecules are approximately 80 nucleotides in length. Their secondary structure includes four short double-helical elements and three loops (D, anti-codon, and T loops). Further hydrogen bonds mediate the characteristic L-shaped molecular structure. tRNAs have two regions of fundamental functional importance: the anti-codon, which is responsible for specific mRNA codon recognition, and the 3' end, to which the tRNAs corresponding amino acid is attached (by aminoacyl-tRNA synthetases). tRNAs cope with the degeneracy of the genetic code in two manners: having more than one tRNA (with a specific anti-codon) for a particular amino acid; and 'wobble' base-pairing, i.e. permitting non-standard base-pairing at the 3rd anti-codon position. Lineage: Bacteria; Candidatus Raymondiibacteriota. The record is from RNAcentral. RNAcentral also lists the same sequence under 6 other names.
GGACAGAUGCCCGAGUGGUUAAAGGGGACGGACUGUAAAUCCGUUGGCAAUUGUCUACGGUGGUUCAAAUCCACCUCUGUCCA